GAUUGGGCAAGAUCGGAUCAGCAAUAGCAAAAGAGUCAAGCUUUCAACCGCUCUAUCAGUUACCACUCGAGAUCUAAGAAACCAAAUACAAAGUACAAAUACAACUCAAAUACAAAGCCUAGAUAACCAGAAGGAAAAAUGCGUAGAAGAAGAUUACAAGAUUUAAGUAUUGUCCAGAAUACUCCAAAUUCGGAAGAAGGAAAUAGUGAACAGCAGACAGUUGUUGGAUCUUCGAAUGUGCCGGAGACACUUGAUGAGCCUGAAGAAUUUCAAAUGGUGGGACGCGCAGAGUUCGAGGACCAGGCUAUUUGGGCAUUUUAGCACGAAAUGCAAAUAUGUUGCCCAUCAACUACGAAUCAUGGCAUCACAUGCCUGAUAGCAACAAAAA
Molecule: long non-coding RNA, 388 nt
Organism: Gossypium arboreum
Lineage: Eukaryota; Viridiplantae; Streptophyta; Magnoliopsida; Malvales; Malvaceae
Exons: 4
Source: RefSeq, a predicted model, not a curated record